This 775-nucleotide ribosomal RNA is filed under the name uncultured Neocallimastigales. Its description in RNAcentral is "partial large subunit ribosomal RNA". It matches the Rfam family "Eukaryotic large subunit ribosomal RNA", at positions 23 to 638 of the family's 3401-position model. The record is from RNAcentral. Lineage: Eukaryota; Fungi; Neocallimastigomycota; Neocallimastigomycetes; Neocallimastigales.
GAGACUCUGUGCGCGUGCAUAUCAAUAAGCGGAGGAAAAGAAACUAACAAGGAUUCCCCUAGUAACGGCGAGUGAAGCGGGAAGAGCUCAAAUUUGAAAUCUUAAAGGGUUUCCCUUUACGAAUUGUAGUUUAAAGAAGUGUUUUCUGUUGGAGUUUCGGUAAAAGUUCUUUGGAAUAGGACAUCAUAGAGGGUGAGAAUCCCGUAUUUGACCGUUACUUUCCAGCUGUGUGAUACACUUUCAAAGAGUCGGAUUGUUUGGGAAUGCAGUCCAAGAUGGGUGGUAAAUUUCAUCUAAAGCUAAAUAUUGGCGAGAGACCGAUAGCGAACAAGUACCGUGAGGGAAAGAUGAAAAGAACUUUGAAAAGAGAGUUAAACAGUACGUGAAAUUGUCAAAAGGGAAGCGUUUGACACCAGUGUUGUUUAGUUGAAAAUCAAUUCAAUAGUUUUUGAUUCUAAGUAGUAUUGACUUCAUCAGCUUGCUGCUCUCUUCUCAGAAAUUAUUGAAUGCACUUUUCAGUUAACAAGUCAACAUCAAUUUCUUUUGUUGUAAAAGGGUAUGAGGAAGGUGGCUUUCUUUUCGGAGAAAGUGUUUAUAGCCUUGUGCCUCUGCAAUCGGAGAGAUUGAGGUCUGCAGCGUAGAUCCUUCGGGGUUAGAUACGUUUGUGCUAAGUUAUAGCUUUUCAUAGACAACUUGUUGACUAUGUUUAGUCUUGUAGCUUACUCGCUGACGCUAUUUUACCUACGCUUAGGAUGUUGACAGCAGUAUAGACUGU